UGGGGAAUUUUGCACAAUGGGCGCAAGCCUGAUGCAGCGACGCCGCGUGAGGGAUGAAGGCCUUCGGGUUGUAAACCUUUUUCGCUCAUGGUCAAGCCGCAGCUUUGGGUUGUGGUGAGGGUAGUGGGUAAAGAAGCGCCGGCUAACUACGUGCCAGCAGCCGCGGUAAUACGUAGGGCGCGAGCGCUGUCCGGAAUUAUUGGGCGUAAAGGGCUUGUAGGCGGUUGGCCGCGUCUGCCGUGAAAUCCUCUGGCUUAACUGGGGGCGUGCGGUGGGUACGGGUUGACUUGAGUGCGGUAGGGGAGACUGGAAUUCCUGGUGUAGCGGUGGAAUGCGCAGAUAUCAGGAGGAACACCGGUGGCGAAGGCGGGUCUCUGGACUGCAACUGACACUGAGGCACGAAAGCGUGGGUAGCAAACAGG
RNAcentral lists this ribosomal RNA (422 nucleotides) under Verrucomicrobiota bacterium. RNAcentral describes it as "Verrucomicrobia bacterium partial 16S ribosomal RNA". It matches the Rfam family "Bacterial small subunit ribosomal RNA", at positions 355 to 776 of the family's 1533-position model. Lineage: Bacteria; Pseudomonadati; Verrucomicrobiota. The record is from RNAcentral.